This 28830-nucleotide long non-coding RNA is filed under the name Hordeum vulgare. RNAcentral's name for it is "long non-coding RNA (HVUL_LNC021065)". The record is from RNAcentral. Lineage: Eukaryota; Viridiplantae; Streptophyta; Magnoliopsida; Poales; Poaceae.
CAGGCUCUCUAGUGGCGGGUACCGGUCACCAAGGCUCUUUUCGAUGUUAUGCCAACAGUCUCGCAUCACCUUUUUUUUGUCAAGGAGGCAGUGGUCUACCUGGUUGACUUCUCGUGCAUAGCACGAACAAGAAGAGAGAGCGACAAGGACUAGGAAGCAUACUCUAAUUUUGCAUUGUUCAUGUUCUAUGUUGUGUAGUACUAUUGGUGUGUGCUUAUGGAGGACUUCUUCACCACUCAGUGUCUUAUAUAGUGUUCAUAGUGCAAGUUUUCACACUCCCUUCGCUCAUCAAUCGCUCAAUUGGAAUAGUUUUUAUUAAAUGAGAGAUAUAUGACUUGGAUAUGUUCUAAUUUAAUGUAGGCACACUAGGUGUUGUAUCAAAUUAUUGGGAAUGGAUACUUGGAUGCAAGCUAUUAUUUAUUGGCAAUGGAGUAGUUAUUUCGAACUCUUAAUAGGUAUGUGUAAAUAACUUGGAUAUGUUGAUAUUUAUUGUAGGCACAUGUGUGCUUAUUGUUGUAUCAAAUUGAUGGUAAAGGAUACUUCUAAUUAAAUGUAGCUGGAUUCAUCCAGUUCUUGUAUCAAACUGAUGGUAAAGGCAACGAGUAGAUGCAUGCAGCAGAUCUAUCUAUCUAUCUAUCUAUCUAUCUAUCUAUCUAUCUAUCUAUCUAUCUUUAUUUAUCUAUCUAUCUAUCUAUAUCUAUCUAUCUAUAUGUCUACCAAUCUAUCUAUCUAUCUACCAAUCUCUCUCUCUCACUUUCUAUCUCUCUCUCUCUCUAUAUAUAUAUAUACAUAUAUAUAUGAGAGAGAGAGAGAGAAAUUGGCUAUGUACUCUCAACCCUCAUAUACAACAUAGAUGUGUCUUUUAUACCUCAUUAUUAUUAUAAAAUAUACUUCAUUAAUAAUUACUAAGUACCUUAAUGUGAGUUUCUAGAAAAAAAUUAUGUGAGUUCAUAUAUUUUCAAAGGUUUACAUAUAUAUUGUUUUGUUUAUACGUGAAAAUGAUAUAUUAUAAAAAGUACAUCGCAACUAAUAUUUUCUCAACAAAACUCAUAUUGAGGCAUCUUAGAAUAUUUAAUGAAGUAUAUUGAAAAUGAUAAAGAGGUAUAACCAUGUGUAUAUGAAGUAUAUUAAGAAUAGAAGUACACACUAGUAGAAAACAGGGCUAUAGCCCCGGUUCGUUUGGGCUAUUAGCCCCGGUUCACGAACCGAGACUAACAAAGCGGGACUAAUGCUAGCUCCGGUUCGGCCCCGCACCAGGAAUAAUGGUCCUCCACAUGGCGGGGCUGGGGGCGAGGCACUAGUAGAAAAUAGGGCUUUUGUUCGGGCCUGGCCAGCCCAUUAGUCCCGGUUCUUCAUGAACCGGGACCCAUGGGGGACAUUAGUCCCGGUUCAUGAGCCUAGGGGGCUGGCCGGGGCCUCGUGGGCAUUGGUCCCGGUUCGUCUGGACUCAUUUGUCCUGGUUCUAAGCACGAACUGGGACCUACGGGCCGCGCUCCUGGCCCACAUCCAUUGGUACCGGUUCGUGCCUUGAACCGGUAAAGAAGGGGGGCGCUAGUCCCGGUUUAUGCCACGAAUCGGGACAAAUAAUUUGCCUAUAUAUAACCAUCGCCGCGGCAGAGCACUCUAUUUUUUCUGGCCGGCGAGGGGAGGGUAUUUGGGUGCUCUAGCUCACCUCCUAUGCAUAUGAGGUGUUCGAUGAAAUGCCCGAGCCACACUAGUUAAGCUUUCUCCUCUUGAAGCUCGACCUCGGAGCUCCAUUUUUCCCGAGAUUUGUCUAGAUUUAGCGGUUCGUCAUGCCCCGUCCCUGUUUUCACCGCCGUUGAUCGCGUGCGUCGAUCUUGUCGCCGGCACCACCGUGGUGAGCCUCUUGUUCUUAUCUUCUUUCUGAUUUUCUUACUUUAGAUAGAGACUUGUCUGGUUUUCUUACUUUAGAUAGAUACUUGUCUGAUUUUCUUACUUUUGACACACAUAAUUAUAUAUAAUGCACGCAGAUGAACCGGCAAUGGAUGUAUGGUGACAGACACACCUUCGAGUACAUUAAGGGCAUGCAUAAUUUUCUCGAAGUGGCUGAGGCAAACAAGCAGAAUGGUUUUAUGUGUUGUCCAUGCCCUUAAUGUGGGAAUACGAAGUCUUACUCUGACGGGAAAAUCCUUCACACCCACCUGCUUUACAAGAGUUUCAUGCCACACUAUAAUGUUUGGACGAGGCACAGAGAAAUAGUGGGUUAUGAUGGAAGACGGCGAAGAAGAAGAGGACGAUGACAACUAUGUGCACCCUGAAUACCAUGAUGUUGCAACGGGGGGAGAUGCUGAAGAACAAGAGGAACCAGACGAUGUGCCCGAUGAUGCUGCAACAGGGGAAGCUACUGAAGAUCAAGAGGAACCAGCGGAUGUGCCCGAUGAUGCUGAUCUCCGCCGGGUCAUUGUCGAUGCAAAGACGCAAUCUGAAAGUCAAAAAAGAGAGGCUGAAGUUUGAUCGCAUGUUAGACGGUCAUAAAAAAGGGUUGUACCCCAAUUGCGAAGAUGGCAACACAAAUCUGGGUAUCGUACUCGAAUUGCUACAAGGAACGCAGAGAAUGUUGUGCGUGAAAAAGGAUUUGAGUUGCUACUGAAAAUAUUGAAGAAGAAUCUUCCAAAGGAUAACGAAUUGGCCGAAAGUACGUACGCAGCAAAGAAGGUCGUAUGCCCUCUAGGACCGGAGGUGCAGAAGAUACAUGUAUUCCCUAAUGACUACAUCCUCUACCGCAGUGCAUACAAGGAUUUGCACACAUGCUCGGUAUGCGGUGCAUUGCGGUAGGAGGAGGGUUAUAGCGACCCGACUCAAAAUGAGUCAAGCCUCUGUGUAUCUGUGCCAUCCCUGGAUCAGUAUGCUGGCACACACAGUACAUCAGUGUAUAUAUCAAAGUGCAAUCACAUGGAAAUAGCGGAAGCAGUCAAGGGAGUGGAAUCCCAAUAAACACCAACGGCAAGUUGAGAGCGGACCGUAACCCUGAAUCGUACUCUUACUCGUCGAAGAAAAUAUCUGCAACAUAAGACGUUGCAGCCGUGUAGGUCAGCAUAUUGAAUAUGCCGGCAACUCACAUAUGAGAGGGGGUAAAAUGUCAUCUAUACUAUAUGCAUAUAUGGCAGGUGGGGUUGUAAGUUUUAGCGUAAAGCAAAUUUUCUCCUACAACAAGAGGGUCUAAAAGCAAAAUAUUAGUACGCUGUUGGUUGUUAAUGAGAUGGUUCCGCCAACCAGUUCUCAUACCCAGGUUAUCAAUAUUUCCCACAUCAAUAUUAUUAUUUGUGUUGAGAAUUUCAGAUAACUUCAGUUCCGUUGGCUCAAGUUUUCCAUUACCAUGAACAAGCCUAAUCGAUUAGGUUUGAGUACUCCGCAGAGUUUUGCACAUGUUCCCCACAAUAUUUGAUCGCCUCAGUGUAUGUCCUCGCACUUUAGGGUGUUUGAGGACCGGAUGAUCAAAACAUGGUCCUUCAACGAGUCCCUCUGAAUCCCUGUCGGUGCCCAUCCAAUCCUACCGUCUUCUACAUCUGCUAGCACCGCCUCUCCAGAGUCGCCGCGUUGUCCAACCAAGCCAGAGCCCAUAAUGACUUGUGGCUGUGCAGGUAAGGCUUGGGUCUUGAAAAUAUCCGUCCGUCUCUUUGAGCCUGGGUGAAGCUUUCCGCAAGAUGUCAUGGCCGUCUCCAGCAUCUCGGGCCAUCCACUGGUUUCUCCAGGGAGCCGAUCAACCGUCCUUCACCCAGAGUUGCAUUGCAUCACGAGGUCUUGAAAAGUCUUGACUUAACCGGUCUUGGUUAUUAAAUUAUUCUUGCAUCACUCGUGAUAAACUCUCAGCCAGAAUCCCGUCUACUCAAGCAUGGCAAUAUGAAAUUUGUCGUCCCGGGCCAAGUAACGGGUUUGUUGGGUGCCUACCACAUGAUACUACAAUAUGUAACCAUAAUUUCCAAGUACCUACUCAGUAUGCAAUUGGGCAUAGGGUGGUAGAACUAUGAUGCAUAAAACAUAGGUGAUACAUGAUCAAAUGACUUGCCUGGUGAUGUUGACGAAGAAGAAUUUCUCGAGAAAUAACUUGAUAGACUACUGGUUACUCUCCGAUGAAAUCUAUAUAACAAACAUAUCAUUCACAUAAGCACUCCUACUAGCAAUCAUUCUAGCAAUCAAAACAAAAGACAGAGUGAAUAAGAAUCCGAAGGAAACUUCAAAUAAGACUAGGGAGUCAUCUACUACAUCAAACACUAAAUAGUUUUUGUCCAACGGAAAAUAAUAACAGGGAACUAAGAUAUAAAUUUAACUAAUAUAAAAUAAAGUAUUUUUCACAAAACUAUUUGAAAUUAUUUCCAAACGGGAUUUGAAACAGUAGAGAAAUCAAUUGCAAGUUAUUAGGGAACUAGAAUUGAUUUCAUGAUAACUUAUAAAAAUAAAAUCAAAGCUUGUUGCAAACCUACUGUUAACUAACAGAAACAAAACAUAAUCUUUCUGAAAUAUAAAAGAAAAAUAAUUUAAAAACAACUAAAGAAAGAAAAUUAGUCACAAUCCUAAAAGAGGUGAAACAGAAAUUGUUUCACAAGAAACAAUGAGCUAGAAUACUCUAACAAUUCUGAAAUUUUUACCACUGAUAAAUAAGGUCACUAGUGAUCAGUAGCAAAAAGAAUUAAUUAAAAAUCUAUUUCUAAACAUGACUAGUGAUCGGUAGCAAAAAUAAUUAAUUAAAAAUCUAUUUUUAAACACCCAGAAUAAGCAAAACAAGGUUUAAACUAAAUAUGGUCUAAUUCAAAUUUGAAAAUUACAAACAUAGACAACUAAUAUAUUUUUGAAAACUACAGGAAAAGUCUGAUCUACUGGAAAAAGAAUCAACUCCAUUGGAUCUAUAGAAUAAAAGUUAUAAAGGAAACAAAAUGGAAACUGUCUCUGUUUUUAAAUCUAAAACAGAAAAAGAAAAACUAACCUAACGAACAAAGGGGGUACGUGGCAGCUCCUGAUUGGUCAGGGGGUGUGCGCUGCGGUGACUAACUAGCGGAUGCUCGCAAACUAAACAACCUGCGUCGGCUAACUAAUAAAAUAAAAAGAACCACCGGUUCUUUUAAAAGAACCGAAGGGGUAAGCGAGAUCUAAUCCUACGCGCACGAUUUAUAUCCGACGGCUGAAAACAAAAGGGGAAGCUCACAGGAGGUGCUGCCGGGGUGGGUUCUUCUCCGGCAAGGUAGGGAGGGGGCGGUGCUCGGGGAUGCACUUCUUGCGGUCUCCGGGGGAGUCCGAGGAGUCCAGGGGUGGAGGAGGUGCUCCGGCAGACUCUCAUGGCGACGGCGCGGCUUGGGGAGGUCGGGGCGAGCAGCAGGGAGGCCAGCAGGGGCGCGGGAGGAGCUCUCGGAGCUUCGGCUCCGGCGAGGUGGUGCAGGGGGUGGCUAAAGGCGGCGAGGCGGGGCGGUGGUGAGGGGAACGGAGUGCGGGGGACAGGGGGCUUUUAUAGGAGGAGGGGAGGCCUCGGGAUGGAAAGAGAGAGAGAUCCGGGAGGGGAUCGGCCGGCGAAGGAAGGUCCGGUGAGGCCGGGCUGUCGGACGAGAGAAAAUGAAGGGAGAGGGCGCGGGGGGCUUUAUCAUUUUUCCAAAACCAAAAUAAAUACUUUUUAAAAAAUGUUUUUGGAGAAAAAACCCCUAAAGGUUUUAUUUUCUUUUGUAAUUAUUUUCUCAAUAAAAUCUGGUUUUCUUGGCUCAAAAAUAUUUCAAAAAUGCCCCUCAUUUUGGGAGGGUCAUUUUCCUCCGCUCUUUCUUGCUUGCAAGAAUUUAUUUUCGGGGUAUUUUCUCCGGGAAGAAAAAUAGAAAUGCAGAAGCAAAAAUUUGAAAGAAUUCAAAUGCAAACUCCAUUCAAAUUCUUAUAGUUGAAGAAGUCAUGUCAUCUUCUCUCAUUGCUUUUGAAUUUUGAAUUUACCGGAGAAGGGGAAAGUCAUUUUAUUCCCUCUCAUUCAAAAGUUUUGAAAAGUUUCAAAUUUCACUCAAGCUUCAAUCACUCAAGCAAACAAACAAACAACCUAAUAAUUUUUUUAACAUUCCAAAAUUUGGGAUGUUACAAACCUAACACACUUAAAAUGAAUCUCGUCCUCGAGAUUCGGAAGGGCUAGAAAGAAAAGGUUAGGGUUUGGGGUCUUCUAACGAAUCCAACCUCCGGCAAAGCGGGAUGCUACCACACUUAAUAUGAGAGCUACUGGUCCUCAAAAUUUUAGACAUCCUCUUGGGUUUUGACAUCUGACUCCUCACAGUCUUCAUACUAACUCCUCUGGUGAUGCUCUUCCGUUAUAUUCAUAACGUUUCCAUUUAUAACGAGGGUCCUUGUGUUGAUAUAAGCUUCUUCCGUUACUGGGCCUUCUUAACUGACAGUCUCGUGGUCAAUUUCUAAAUAACCUAUCGACGAUUCUCAUGGUGGUCUACCAUUUGUGGUUAUCCUGUAGAGAGAGAGGUCUUGUCUUCAUCCUCACCGUAAAAUUUCCUACGCGUGAAAACAAGUGCCAUGUACAUGGGCUUUUCUUAUACCAUUCUAAGGCUUAAAUAAAAGCUUCAAAGAACGUCGUCUCUCACUAUGGGUAAGUCUCUCAGAUUUACCAUUCCGAAUAGCAAGAGAAUGAUAAUAGUAAGUCGUCAUGGUGGCCAAGCCAUGUCGCACUGAAAUCAUUACCUUGUAUAAGGCUUAGUGAAUCUCGCAUUCCAACACUUGGGCAUCCUCUCCAGCGUUCCAGAAUUUCUCUUGUACACGAACGAAGUUCGGAUAAAUCCAAUGAUUCUGCAAGCUGAACAAAACAUCUAUCGUAACUUCACAACUCUCAGGUUUUCGUAUGCUCCUAGGGAAAUAUUGCUGAUACAAGUUUCCUUCUCCAAAAGAUAGUACUAGAUCCUUGUUAGUCUCGGGGUCUGUGGGUUGCAGGCAUACUGGGGAUUACUCCGCCUUUAAAUUUCCAUAGUGUUUGAUUCCAUCAUACUCUUGGGGUAACCAUCAUAAAAAUAGUCCUCAGACUUAUUUUUGGUACACGCUCAUUCUAUGGGAUACUUUCCAUUGGUUUGUUUACCAUGAAAAGGUAUUGGUUCAUCCAUAAAUCCUUUAUUACAUCCUUAAUUUCUUCUCAAAAACUUCAAUUCAAAAGUACUCUAUUACAAAUGCUGCCAUCCACAUUGUUCGGUAUCGUCGGGCAUUUCUGCCAACAUUAUUCAUUCGUCUCUCUUGGAGGUACUUUAGUUCCACUGGAACUUUCCAAUGUGCUCCUUGAAAUAAUCCAUCUUUUGCUUCAUCAUGGUGGCAUGAGCUUCAUCUCCAUCAUCUCCACAUGCACUUCACUCAGGUAUUCCUGGGUAUGACAGAGUCUUGCUUCAAGUAUUUCUCCAAUCUGAUGUAUGGCUUCCAUGGCAGCUUCACGAACAACAUCAAAGAAGGUUGCUCGUGGUACACGUGAAAUGAAAAAGUAUUGCCCCAUAGUCUUUGGACAAACUCCUUUCACAUGGUGGAGGUGUACUUCCACAUACCAAAGUUCUACUCCACUUUCCAUGAAUGGGUAGCCUUUGUAGACUGCAUCUCCUUCAAGAUGAAUGUGCUUCAUCAUGUCCUUCAGGAUUUUCGGGUAAUCAUGAUCACUGGUCAGGGUCAUGAUCGUUUAUGGGCCCUUGAGGAAUGACUCGUAGAGAGUUGUCAUCCGCUGGUGUCAGUAAAUAGGUACUCAGAGGAAUGUAUAUGUCUCCUUGAUAAUCAUGGUACAUUCCUACUCAGUGGAUCCUGUGGGUUUACCGAUUACUACCACACUUAAAAUGAAUUAUACUCAUGCCUGCAUUUACCAUAUUUUCUCAUAUCCUCAUAAAUGUUCAGAGAUCUUUGUUCGUAGAGAAACAACGCAUACAGUUUCAACAUAGGCAAUCAUGAGACAAUAAAUUCCAUUUAUUCAUGAAGUUAUUACAAUCUCGGGGAAUUAUCUUACAAAAAUUCAACUCCAUGAUUUCAUGAAAAACAAGAAUGCUUCAGAUUACACUAAUUGCCGCGGUCAAAACUUAACUACUUCUUUUUAGCUUUCUUCCUUUGUGGACAAUCACUAGCAUAAUGUCCUGCUUCCUUGCAACGAAAGCAAAUGAGUUCUGACAAGUCUCGAUGCUUCUUAGCGUUUGCUUUUGCUCCUUGGAUUUCCAGGCUUCCUUCCUGAGCACAUGUAUUUGUGGUGGCCAAAUUCCAUGCACUUGUAACAUCUGACAUGACUCAGGUCUAUAUCUACAGAGAUUUGGCUCUUCCGNNNNNNNNNNNNNNNNNNNNNNNNNNNNCUCUUCCGAGGGUACUUUUUUUUUCUUUCCGGACUCCUUUAUUUUGGCAAGUUCUUAUAUUUCAAGUGGAUCAAACUCCACUUUUUCCGUCGGGAAGUUUCGCAGAUACUCUUGGCUUCCCUUCGUGCAAUCCUUUGAAUAAUGUCCUUCUUUUCCACAUGAGUAGCAUGCAUUGGAGAAAAAUCUGGUCUGACCUUGUCCAUCAGGGUCUUCAAUAUUUUCGUUCAUCAUUUUUUCUUCUAGAAUCUUCUUCUUGAGGGUUUCCUUCACUGCAUCUUUCUGCUGUUUGACAACUUGUUGCACCUUGGGGUAAAUGUGACACUGACCUUGGUAGUGGGUGGUUCCUUCACAAAGGAAACAAGUCACGUGACUCCUUGGGCACUCCUCAGCUGGGUGAUUUUCUUCACAAUGAGUGCAUCCAUCCUUGUGUUCUUCUGGGGUGUGUCCUAUUUCUCCACAGAUCUUGCAUGCACAAGUCUUCUCCUUCGGAUUAUCAUAGCACUUUUGAAUAAGACGGGACCUUAACAAAGUAUUCUUGAAUUCGUCCCAGGUUGUUGCUCCACUAAAUCCUUGUAUGGCAUGGUGCAUUUUCCACCAGAUAGCAGCACUUUGGGUAAGCUACUGGAGAGCGUGUUCCACGUCAUACUUCCUUGAGAUCAAGUUGCUCCCGAAGUGGUUCUCCAUGUUCUGAAUCCAUAUUUCAGCCUCUAGCUGGGUCAUUGGUCCAGAGACUACAAGUCCAGCUUCAUACUCCAUUUGGUAGGGUUGAGGUUUUGGGGAUGAGACGGGUAAGAGAGGGAGGGAGAUACACACAAUACAAACAAUAUUUUUUAAGAAUAGGUUUUUAUUUGUGGCUAUCGGAAAACACACACCAAUGACGGCUUACAAAUCAUCGCAACUAAUGUGGGUAUAUAACAGGGGUUUGGACUUCUAAUGGUCAUAUAAAUAUUCGAACGCUUCAGGGUCUUCGAAUUCUUCGGGUCUUGAGAGUCUUCAAUUGGUGUAGCUUCAAUUGCAUGAUGAAAUCCUCUUUACUUUGGAGUAGAACUCGGUUGAUUAUCCAUGAGGUCAAAGGGGUAAGGGCAUUGUCUAACUAUGUGAGGUGAGAGAGAACGUUUGAUGAAAUCAGAAGAGAUGAGAAGUAAAAAGUGUUCUCGAAAAUAAGAUUUUUGAGAGAUCCUAUCCUAAGAAGUUUUCAGUUUCUAGGGUCACGUCCUACAGUCAACAUGUGCUCUGAUACCAUUUCUGUAGCGACCCGACUCAAAACGAGUCAAGCCUCUAUGGAUCUGUGCCAUCCCUGGAUCAGUAUGCUGGCACACACAGUACAUCAAUGUAUAUAUCAAAGUGCAAUCACAUGGAAAUAGCGUAAAACUGAUAUAUACCUUAAAUAUUUCAGCGGAAGCAGUCAAGGGAGUGGAGUCCCAAUAAAUACCAACGGCAAGUUGAGUGCGGACCGUAACCCUGAAUCGUACUCUUACGCGUCGAAGAAAAUAUCUGCAACAUAAGACGUUGCAGCCGUGUAGGUCAGCAUAUUGAAUAUGCCGGCAACUCACAUAUGAGAGGGGGUAAAAUGUCAUCUAUACUAUAUGCAUAUAUGGCAGGUGGGGUUGUAAGUUUUAGCGUAAAGCAAAUUUUCUCCUACAACAAGAGGGUCUAAAAGCAAAAUAUUAGUACGCUGUUGGUUGUUAAUGAGAUGGUUCCGCCAACCAGUUCUCAUACCCAGGUUAUCAAUAUUUCCCACAUCAAUAUUAUUAUUUGUGUUGAGAAUUUCAGAUAACUUCAAUUCCUUUGGCUCAAGUUGUCCAUGACCGUGGACACGGCUAAUCGAUUAGGUUUGAGUACUCUGCAGAGUUUUGCACACGUUCCCCACAAUAUUUGAUCGCCUCCGUGUAUGUCCUCGGACUUCAGGGUGUUUGAAGACCGGAUGAUCAAAACAUGGUCUUUCAACGGGUCCCUCUGAAUCCCUGUCGGUGCCCAUCCAAUCCUACCGUUCUUCUACAUCUGCUAGCACCGCCUGUCCAGAGUCGCCGCGUUGUCCAACCAAGCUAGAGCCCAUAAUGACUUGUGGCUGUGCAGGUAAGCCUUGGGUCUUGAAAAUAUCCGCCCGUCUCUUUGAGCCUGGGUGAAACUUUCCGCAAGAUGUCAUGGCCGUCUCCAGCAUCUCGGGUCAUCCACUGGUUUCUCCAGGGAGCCGAUCAACCGUCCUUCACCCAGAGUUGCAUUGCAUCACGAGGUCUUGAAAAGUCUUGACUUAACCGGUCUUGGUUAUUAAAUUAUUCUUGCAUCACUCGUGAUAAACUCUCAGCCAGAAUCCCGUCUACUCAAGCAUGGCAAUAUGAAAUUUGUCGUCCCGGGCCAAGUAACGGGUUUGUUGGGUGCCUACCACAUGAUACUACAAUAUGUAACCAUAAUUUCCAAGUACCUACUCAGUAUGCAAUUGGGCAUAGGGUGGUAGAACUAUGAUGCAUAAAACAUAGGUGAUACAUGAUCAAAUGACUUGCCUGGUGAUGUGGACAAAGAAGAAUUUCUCGAGAAAUAACUUGAUGGACUACUCGUCAUUCUCCGAUGAAAUCUAUAUAACAAACAUAUCAUUCACAUAGGCACUCCUACUAGCAAUCAUUCUAGCAAUCAAAACAAAAGAGAGAGUGAAUAAGAAUCCGAAGGAAACUUCAAAUAAGACUAGGGAGUCUUCUACUACAUCAAAUACUAAAUAGUUUUUGUCCAACGGAAAAUAAUAACAGGGAACUAAGAUAUAAAUUUAACUAAGAUAAAAUAAAGUAUUUUUCACAAAACUAUUUGAAAGUAUUUCCAAACGGGAUAUGAAACAGUAGAGAAAUCAAUUGCAAGUUAUUAGGGAACUAGAAUUGAUUUCAUGAUAACAUAUAAAAAUAAAAUCAAAGCUUGUUGCAAACCUACUGUUAACUAACAGAAACAAAACGUAAUCUUUCUGAAAUAUAAAACAAAAAUAAUUUAAAAACAACUAAAGAAAGAAAAUUAGUCACAAUCCUAAAAGAGGUGAAACAGAAAUUGUUUCACAAGAAACAAUGAGCUAGAAUACUCUAACAAUUCUGAAAUUUUUACCACUGAUAAAUAAGGUCACUAGUGAUCAGUAGCAAAAAGAAUUAAUUAAAAAUCUAUUUCUAAACUCCCGGCAUAAGCAAAACAAGGUUUAAACUAAAUCUGGUGUAAUUCAAAUUUGAAAAUUACAAACAUAGACAAAUAAUAUGUUUUUGGAAACUACAGGAAAAUUGUGAUCUACUCGAAAAAUAAUCAACUCCAUUGGAUCUACAGAAUAAAAGUUAUAAAGGAAACAAAAUUGAAACUGUCUCUAUUUUUAAAUCUAAAACAGAAAAAGAAAAACUAACCUAACGAACAAAGGGGGUACGUGGCAGCUCCUGAUUGGUCAGGGGGUGUGUGCUGCGGUGGCUAACUAGCGGACGCUCGCAAACUAAACAACCCGCGUCGCCUAACUAAUUAAAUAAAAAGAACCACCGGUUGUUUUAAAAGAACCGAAGGGGUAAGCGAGAUCUAAUCCUACGCGCACGAUUUAUAUCCGAUGGCUGAAAACAAAAGGGGAAGCUCACAGGAGGUGCUGCCGGGGUGUGUUCUUCUCCGGCGAGGUAGGGAGGUGGCGGUGCUCGGGGAUGCACUUCCUGCGGUCUCCGGGGGCGUCCGAGGAGUCCAGGGGGUGGAGGAGCUGCUCCGACAGUCUCUCGUGGCGACGGCGUGGCUUUGGGAGGUCGGGGCGAGCAGCAGGGAGGCCAGCAGGGGCGCUGGAGGAGCUCCCUGAGCUUCGGCUCCGGCGUGGUGGUGCAGGGGGUGGCUAGAGGCGGCGAGGCGGGGCGGUGGCGAGGGGAACGAANNNNNNNNNNNNNNNNNNNNNNNNNNNNNNNNNNNNNNNNNNNNNNNNNNNNNNNNNNNNNNNNNNNNNNNNNNNNNNNNNNNNNNNNNNNNNNNNNNNNNNNNNNNNNNNNNNNNNNNNNNNNNNNNNNNNNNNNNNNNNNNNNNNNNNNNNNNNNNNNNNNNNNNNNNNNNNNNNNNNNNNNNNNNNNNNNNNNNNNNNNNGGUAGCGGUGACCGGUCGGGUGGGGGUUUCGGGCGGUGGGCCCCGGGCGUCAGCGAGAGUGGGCGCGGGUGCGUUCGGUCGGCCAACCGGCCUGAAAAAGGAAACCCCGGGCCAGGCGGGAUCCGGCCGAGCAGGGCUAUAAUGCGCCCGAGCGCUUUCCUUUAAAAAAUUAUUUCUUUCCGAUUUUGAUAUUUUUCCAAAACAAGAAGUAAAUAAAUAUAAAAAGGAAACAAAUAAUUACCAAAUAUAGGGGUAUUAUAUACCAAAAAUUUCAGAAAAAUAUUUCCUAUUUAUUUAUCAUUUUUCCAAAACCAAAAUAAAUACUUUUUAAAAAAUGUUUUUUCCGAAAUAGAAAUGCAGAAGCAAAAAAUUUGAAAGAAUUCAAAUGCAAACUCCAUUCAGAUUCUUUAUAGUUGAAGAAGUCAUGUCAUCUUCUCUCAUUGCUUUUGAAUUUUUAAUUUACCGAAGAAGGGGAAAGUCAUUUUAUUCCCUCUCAUUCAAAAGUUUUGAAAAGUUUCAAAUUUCACUCAAUCUUCAAUCACUCAAGCAAACAAACAAACAACCUAAUAUUUUUUUUAACAUUCCAAAAUUUCGGAUGUUACAAGGGUUCCUGCAAAGGUGAUGUUGUAUGCUCCUAUAAUACCACGGUUGAAACGAAUGUUCAGAAACAAAGAGCAUGCCAAGUUGAUGCGAUGCCACAGUGAGGACUGUAAGAAAGAUGGGAAGUUGAGAGCACCCGCUGACGGGUCGCAGUGGAGAAAAAUCGAGAGAGAGUACUGGGCUGAGUUUGCACGUGACCCAAGGAAUGUAUGGUUUGGUUUAAGCACGGAUGGCAUUAAUCCUUUCGGGGAGCAGAGCAGCAAUAACAGCACCUGGCCCGUGACUCUAUGUAUGUAUAACCUUCCUCCUUGGAUGUGCAUGAAGCGGAUGUUCAUUAUGAUGCCAGUUCUCAUCCAAGGCCCUAAGCAACCCGGCAAUGACAUUGAUGUGUACCUAAGACCAUUAGUUGAAGAAAUUUUAUAGCUGUGGAAUGGAAGCAGUGUACAUGUGUGGGAUGAGCACAGACAGGAGGAAUUUGACCUGCACGCGUUGCUGUUUGUAACCAUCAACGAUUGGCCCAUGAUGUCCCACCAGCGUAUGGGAUCACAGCAGUUUUCGAGGGUAGAGUAUUCAACCCAAAUUUGUUGGCUCGCACGAGGUAAGCGAAAGAACAUUCUCAAGUAUUAGCUGCUGAAUGUGUCAGAUUCAACCACACCUGAAAGAUUAGUGUAUGCAAGCAAAGUAUCAGUAACAAAGUAGUAUGAUAGCAACGGUGCCAGAAACGACCUGUUGACAAGGCACACUAUUCCUAACUGUUGUAUCAAUGGCGCGGAAAAAAGCCUUGUUGACAGGAUGUCAGUUCCAACAAAAUCUUGCAACGAGUAAGAGCGGAGUAGUAAGGAACAGUAGUAGCAGCAGCAGCAAAGUAACAAGUAACAGCACUAGCGACAGCAGCAGCAAAGUGGCCCAAUCCCUUUUGUAGCAAGGGACAAGCCUAGGCAAAGUAACGUAGCGAGAACCAGUAGUAAAAGACUCGUAGGUUGUGGAUCGGUGAUGGAUGAGUAUGACGGAUGUGAUUCAUCAUGUAACAGCUAUAACACGGAGAGAUAAGUAACUAGCUCCCGUUCGUCAAUCUAAUGUAGGCAUGUAUUCCGUACGUAGUCAUACGUGCUUAGGGAAAAGAACUUGCCUGACAUCUAUUGUCCAUCCCUCCCAUGGCAGCGGGGUCCUAAUGGAAACUACGAGAUAUUAAGGUUCUCCUUUUAAUAAAGAACCGGACCAACGCAUUAGCACGUGGUGAAUAGAUGAACUCCUCAUACUAUGAUCAUCUCCGGGGGUGGUUCCGGCUAUUGUCACUCCGGGAUUGCCGGGUCAUAACAUAUAGUAGGUGAGUACAACUUGCAAGAUAGGAUCUAAAACACACAUAUAUUGGCGACAACAUAAUAGGUUCGAAUCUGAAAUCAUGGCACUCGGGCCCUAGUGACAAGCAUUAAGCAUAGCCAAGUAGUAGCAACAUCAAUCUAGAACAUAGUGGAUACUAGGGAUCAAUCCCCGUCAAGAACUAACUCGAUUACAUGAUAGAUCUCAUCCAACUCAUCACCGUCCAACAAGCCUACGAUGAGAUUACUCGCGAACGAUGAAGAGCAUCAUGGAAUUGUCGAUGGAGAAAGGUUGAUGAUGAGGAUGGCAACGAUUUCCCGUCUCCGGAGCCCGAAAAGGACUCCAGAUUUGCCCUCCAGAUGAAGAACAUGAUGUGGCGGCGCCUCCGUAUCGCAAAACGCGAUGAAACCUUCUCUUUGAUUUAUUUCUACGCGAAACAGAAGAUAUAGAGCUGAGAUUGGGGGCCGUGAUGCCACGUGGGCCCCACAAGCCUGCAUGGCGCGGCCAUAGGGGGUGGCCGCGGCCUGUGGGCUUGUGGCCCACUGGCACGCACCCUCCGGUGGAUCUUUGCGCAUGUAUUUUUCUUUUAUUCCAGAAAAAAUCUCCGUAAAUUUUCAGGAUGUUCCGAGAACUUUUAUUUCUGCACAAAAACAACACCAUGGCAAUUCUGCUGAAAACAACGUCAGUCCGGGUUAGUUCCAUUCAAAUCACGCAAAUUAGAUUCCAAAACAAGGGCAAAAGAGUUUGGAAAAGUAGAUACGACGGAGACGUAUCAACUCCCCCAAGCUUAAAGCCUUGCUUGUCCUCAAGCAACUCAGUUGACAAACUGAGAGAGACAAAAGAAAAACUUUGACGAACUAUGUUUGAUCUUGUUGUUCCAACUAUGUCUAACUCAUAACCAGAAUUUCAGCAAGAUCACAAACAAAACACAUAAGAAAAUGACGUCUAGGUCUCACGUAAACUCAUAUCAAUGGCAUAAUCAGCUAGCGAGCAAAUAAUAAUAAGCCUCAAGUGUCAACACUUCAAUCAAAACAACAUGAAGCAGUACGAAUAGAUGGUAUCUCGCUAGCUCUUUCUGAGACCGCAAAACAUAAAUGCAGAGCACCUUAAAAGACCAAGGGCUGACAAAACAUUGUAAUUGAAGGCAAUGAAUAUCCAUUCAAAGUCACACUCAACACAGUUAAAAGAAAAGCAUAAAAAAGACAGAGGUGCUCUAAUUGGUGCUUUUGUAAGAGGAGGAUGACUCAACAGGAACAUAAAUAGACAUGCCCUUCGCAGAGGGAAGCAUUGAUUUGUAGAGGUGCCGGAGCUCAAGCUUUGAAAACAGAGACAAAAACUGGAUGCACUUCGUGUACAAAACAAACAAUCUCUUUUGAAGUAUCAGGGUUUCAUAUGAAAACUCAUUUGUUACAAAGGGAUUUAAAUUUUUGAACUUAUUUGAACUCCAGACUUUUUGUGUGUUCAGAAUGCACCAUUCAAAGUGACAUCAUCAAUUUUCAACUAUUUUUGACUUCAUUUGGUAUUUUUCAUGCAUUUACUGAUUGUUUUGAGCUAAAUGGCCCUUAAAUUAAAAAGCACUACGAAAACUCAUGUGUUACAAAGGGCAUUUCAUUUCUUCACUUUUUCUUCGCUUGUGUUCUUUUCUUAUUGCGCCGUAACCAUGGAUAAUCUUCAUCGUUUAACAGGGUGCUUGGGUCGGCCUUGACUUUGAAAGGAGGAAUUUCAUGAAACUUUUCAUAAUCUUCAGACAUAUCUGUCUUGCCCUCCAAUCCCAUGAUGUCUCUUUUUCCUCAAAGAACUAUGUGGUGCUUUGGAAAAUCAUUUGAUGUAUUCUCUUCCUUAUAUUUUUUUUCUCAGUUUGGUAGACAUGUCCUUCACAUUGAAAACCUGCGCGAGAUCAUUGGCUAAGACGAAUGGUUCCUCUGCGUGCCCAAGAUUGUUCAGAUCCACUGUUGUCAUUCCGUACUGUGGGUCUAUCUGUACCCCUCCUCCUGACAGAUUGACCCAUUUGCACUGAAACAAAGGGACCUUGAAAUCAUGUCCAUAGUCAAGUUCCCAUAUGUCCACUAUGUAACCAUAAUAUGUGUCCUUUCCCCUCUUGGUUGCUGCAUCAAAGCGGACACCGCUGUUUUGGUUGGUGGUCUUUUAAUCUUGGGUGAUCGUGUAAAAUGUAUUCCCAUUUAUCUCGUACCCUUGGUAAGUCAAUACAGUUGAAAAUGGUCCCCUGGCCAAUGACUACAACUCAUUAGAAACAGUGUUGUCACACAUGAGACAUUUUUGCAACCAACUACCGAAAGUCAUGAUGUGUUCAUACGUAAUCCAGUCGUCACACUGCUCCGGGUGUUUGGAGCUUGGAAUAUUCUUGUGUUCAUCGACAUACGGGGUCACCAAGGUAGAAUUCCGUAGAACUGUGUAGUGUGCUUGAGACCAAGAAUGCCCGUCCCUACAUAUUAUUGAGUCGGCUCCUAGUGUGCCUUUUCCAGUCAGUCUCCCCUCAUACCGCGAUUGAGGGAGACCAAAUUUUUAAGGUCAGGAAUGAAGUCAACACAAAACCCAGUGACAUCCUCUCGUUGAUGGCCCAUGGAGAUGCUUCCUUCUGGCCUAACGUGGUUACGAACAUAUUUCUUUAAGAUUCCCAUGAACCUCUCAAUGGGGAACAUAUUAUGUAGAAAUACAAGGCCAAGAACGAUAAUCUCGUCGACUAGAUGAACUAGGAUGUGCGUCAUGAUAUUGAAGAAGGAUGGUGGGAACACGAGCUCGAAACUAACAAGACAUUGCACCAAAUCACUCCUUAACCUUGGCAGGAUUACUGGAUCGAUCACCUUCUGAGAGAUUACAUUGAGGAAUGCACAUACCUUCACAAUGGCUAAUCGUAUGUUUUCCACUAGAAGCCCCCUCAAUGCAGCCGGGAGAAGUUGCGUCAUAAUCACCUGGCAGUCAUGAGACUUGAGGUUCUCGAACUUUUUCUCUGCCAUAUUUAUUAUUCCCUUUAUAUUCGACGAGAAGCUAGACGGGACCUUCAUACUGAGCAGGCAUUCAAAUAAGAUUUCCUUCUCUUAUUUGGUAAGAGUGUAGCUGGCAGGACCUUCAUACUGCUUUGGAUGCAUGUCGUCUUUUUCAUGCACACGUUGAUUUUCCUCCCAUGCCUCCGGUGUAUCUUUUGUCUUCCCAUACACUCCCAAGAAGCCUAGCAGGUUCACGCAAAGAUUCUUCGUCAAGUGCAUCACGUAAAUUGCAGAGUGGACCUCUAGGUGUUUAUAAUAGGGUAGGUCCCAAAAUAUAGAUUUCUUCUUCCACAUGGGUGCAUGUCCCACAUCGUCAUUCGGAAUAGAUAGUCUGCGAGGACCCUUUCCAAAGAUUACUUGUAAAUCAUUGACCAUAUCAAGUAUGUGAUCACCAAUACGGAGGGCGGGCUUCUUUCGGUGGUCUGCCUCACCUUUGAAAUUCUUUCCUUUCUUUCGACAUUGAUGGUUGGUCGGAAGAAAUCGACGAUGCCCUGGUACACAUUCUUCCUGCAUUUGUCCAAAUAUAUACUGUCGGUGUCAUCUCAACAGUGUGUGCAUGCGUUGUCUCCCUUUUUAUCUGUCCUGAAAGGUUACUAAGAGCAGGCCAAUCGUUAAUGGUUACAAACAGCAAUGCAUGUAGGUCAAAUUCCUCCUGUUCGUUCUCACCCCACACACGGACACCAUUUUCAUUCCAUAGCUGUAAAAGUUAAUCAACUAAUGUCCUUAGGUACACAUCAAUGUCAUUGCCGGGUUUCCUAGGGUCUUGGAUGAGCACUGGCAUCAUAAUGAAUUUCCACUUCAUGCACAACCAAGGAGGAAGGUUAUACAUACAUAGACUCACAAGCCAUGUGCUAUGUUUCCUACUCUACUCCCCAAAAGGAUUAACACCAUCUGCACUUAAACCAAACCAUACGUUCCUUGGGUCACAUGUAAAGUCGCUCCACCUUUUCUCGAUCUUUCUCCACUGCGACCAGUCAGCGGGUGCUCUCAACUUCCCGUCUUUCUUACGGUCUUUUAUGUGCCAUUGCAUGAAUUCGACAUGGUUAUUGUUUCUGAACAGACGUUUCAACCAUGGUAUUAUAGGAGCAUACCACAUCACCUUGGCAGGAACCAUCUUCUCGGUGCGCUCGCCCUCAACAUCACCAGGGUCAUCUCUUCUGAUCUUAUACCACAAUGCGCGGCAUACCGGGAAUGCGUUCAAAUCCUCGUACGCACCGCGGUAGAGGAUGUAGUCAUUAGGGCAUGCAUGUAUCUUCUGCACCUCCAAUCCUAGAGGGCAUUGAACCUUCUUUGCUUCAUACGUACUGCCGGAAAAUUCGUUAUUCUUUGGAAGCGUCUUCUUCAUUAAUUUCUGUAGCGAACUAAAUCCCUUGUCAGAUACACCAUUGUCUGCAUUCCAUUGCAGCAAUACCAGUGUGGUACCGAGCUUUGUGUUGUCAUCUUCACAAUUUGGGUACAACCCUUUUACAUGAUACUCUAACAUGCGAUCGAACUUCAAGUUAUUCCUCUCACUUUCGCAUUCUCCAUGUGUAUCAACAAUGACCCGACGAAGAUCAUCAUCGGGCACAUCGUCUGAUUCCUCUUGAUCUUCAGCUUCCCCCAUUGCAACAUCACAGUAUUCAGGGGGCAGGUAGUUGUCAUCAUCCUCUUCUUCUACGUUAUCUUCCAUCAUAACCCCUCUUUCUCCGUGCUUGGUCCAAAAAUUAUAGUGUGGCAUAAUACCCUUCUAAAGCAGGUGGAAGUGAAGGUUUUAUAGUCGGAGAAUUCCUUCGUAUUCCCACACACAAUACAUGGACAAUGCCUAAAAACAUUAUGCUUGUUUGCGUCAGCCGCUUCGAGAAAAUUAUGCAGGCCCUUAAUAUAUUCGGAGGUGCGUCAGUCAUCAGUUCAUCUGUGUGCGUUAUACAAUAAAGUGUAUUAAAAACUAUUACAACAUAUCAUGAAUAGAGAAGUGACCAAAUUCAUAGAAAUUCAUCAUCACAUUAAAGCCAAAGUACAGUAGUGACCAAAAUAAAUACAUAAUGUUCAUACAUAGUUCUCAUUAUUGAACAACAUAUAGCUCUCUAGAGCAUCUAAUUAGAACAUACAUUGAAACAAUAAAUGCGAUCGUAAUCGCAACUAAGGUACCAAUUGAUCCAACGACAUAAUGAUACCAAGCCUCAGUAUGAAUGCUAUAUUUUCUAAUCUUUAUAAUCUUCAAGCGCAUUGCAUCCAUCUUGAUCUUGUGAUCGUCGACGAUAUCCGCAACAUCCAACUCCAAUAUCAUCUCCUCCUCUUCAACUCUUUGUAAUUUUUCUUUCAAGUAAUUGUUUUUUAACCAAAUUUAACUUCUCCGCAAGAAUUUCUAUGUCGGUUCGAAUUUCCGGUCACAUACCACCUAGAAUAAAAAAUCUAUGUCACGUUGGUCGGCAUAAUUGUCAUAAACACUAAAUAAAACAAAUAGUUAUAAAACAUAAUAUAUACCACAUCCGAAUCAUAGACAGGACGAGGGCCGACGGAGGCGGAUACCAAAAUCAUCACACUAUAUAAUAACAAACAAUAAUAAAAGUAAGAAAAUUACAUAUGUAUCUAUCUAAAUCAUACAAGUAAGAACUUUUUUCUUUUAGAAAGAAGAUAAGAAAAGAGACUAACCACGGUGGUGAUGGCACCGAGAUAGGAAAAUGGAGCUUGGACAAGGAGCUUCAAGAGGAGAAAGCUUAAGUGUGGCUCCGGCAUUUCAUCGAACACCUCAUAUGCAUAGGAGGUGAGCUAGAGCACCACAAAUCUCUCCCACGGCCGGCCGAAACACAGAGCAGUGCACUGCUCUGCUCGCGGGCUGGGGGUAUAUAUAGGCCAACCAUUAGUCCCGGUUUGUGGCUGGAACCGAGACUAAAGGACAACCUGAGGUCCCGGUUCUAGCCCCAAAUCGGGACUACUGGUUGUGGCUCAAGAGCGAGGCACAUUGGUCCCGUUUCGUAUCUGGAACCGGGACCGAAGGUGUCAAACGAAGCGGGACAAAUGGUGUUAGAAUAAAUCCGAUGCAUACCUCGAUAAUCCGAGGACCAAGCAAUCACACAAGUACGACAUCCAGAUUUUUUAACGAGGUUCACCGAUAUGGCUACAUCCCCGUGGCAUGACUACGGGCGCUUCUCCCCGUGACACCGCAACACCGGCCACCCGGGCGCCGGCACAAGCCGCCGGCUCUCCCUUGCGAGCCUAUCGCUAUCUAGUCGUCAUAGGUUACAACGUGGGGUGCCUCCUCAUCUAUAAGAGGCCAAGGGUACAUGUAUCCUACCCAAACUACAACACCAAGUCCAUAUGUAACCCAACUCGUACACAAUAUUCGACACAACUCUAACACCAAGUCCAUUGAUACGCAGUAGUACAUCGGAAAGCAUCAGGCUUUGGCAAAUCAAUUAGCAUCGAGCGUCCAUAUUUGUGCUUAUGAGUAGAUCACGUGUAAGGCCAAUUUAUUUUGGUGGUCUGCUACUAGUGCACGGAGGCGAGACCACUUGGGUUUUGCUAGUGUACUUUGGCAUCGCGGGGAUAACUCGGAUAUUUUUUCACACAGUCAGCCCUACAAAGAACCAUGGCGCCAGUGGGUACUAGGUUUGAGGUGGAGAAGUUCGAUGGGACUGGAAGCUUUGGGUUAUGGCAGACAAGGGUGAAAGAUUUGUUGGCACAACAGGGAUUUUUUGAAGGCGUUGUUGCACUACUAGGAAAAGGGCUAUAGAUGAUAUAGAUACUAAUGGCGCACCACACAAGCAGUGCGCCACUACUAUAUAGUAAUGGCGCACCAUGUGAGGUGUGCCAUUAGUGUGGUGGAUACUAAUGGCGCACCACACUCUCGGUGCGCCACUACUAAUUUUUUUUAUUUUUAUUUUUUUUGCAAAACUACUAAUGGCGCACCAGCUGGCGCACCAGAAGCUGGUGCGCCAUUAGUAACCUGCUUACUAAUGGCGCAUCUGGUAGUAGUGCGCCACUACUAUAAUUUUUUUUGUUUUUUUUGCAAACUACUAAUGGCGCACCAGAGCUAGUGCGGCAUUAGUAACCAGUGUUACUAAUGGCGCAUCUGUUGGUGAUGCGCCACUACUAUUUUUUUUUGCCGAACUACUAAUUGUGCACCAGAGGUGGUGCGACAUUAGUAACCAGGGUUACUAAUGGCGCAUAUGUAGGUGGUGCGCCACUACUAUAAUUAUUUUUUUCGCAAAACUACUAAUGGCGCACCACCACCCUCGCCGCCGAGCACCCCCCGCACCCUCCCCCGCUCCACCGNNNNNNNNNNNNNNNNNNNNNNNNNNNNNNNNNNNNNNNNNNNNNNNNNNNNNNNNNNNNNNNNNNNNNNNNNNNNNNNNNNNNNNNNNNNNNNNNNNNNNNNNNNNNNNNNNNNNNNNNNNNNNNNNNNNNNNNNNNNNNNNNNNNNNNNNNNNNNNNNNNNNNNNNNNNNNNNNCUAUCGGAAAAAAAAGAUUACUAAUGGCGCACCUGUGUGAAAUGCGCCAUUGCUAUAUAAAAAAAUAUUUACUAAUGGCGCAUUGCAUGGGGAUGCGCUAUUGCUAUCAAAAAAAUCUAACGGCGCACCGCUCCGGGGUGCGCCAUUGCUAACCGGCAGUGCCUGCCCCGGAUCCCGUCCCCCCGAUCCCCCCCCGGACCCCCCCCCCCCACCCCCCCCCCCCCCCCNNNNNNNNNNNNNNNNNNNNNNNNNNNNNNCCCCCCGCUGCUGCGGGAAUCCCUUCGACAGCCGCCUCUCCGCGCUCGACGCUGCCAUGCGCCCCAUCCAGCUCCACACCCACGUCGUCCGCACCGCCCACGAGAACAUCGACCGCACCCUACGCUCCAUUACUUGUAGCCAUCUCUCGACGCUUCAGCGCCUCCCACCUCGGCGCCCCCGCCUCAGCCGCCAGGACCUUCGCCGCGUCCCGCCGACAAGGAUACGGUGAGUUCCCAGUACCUUGCGUGAUGAUUGCACGGCGAUCUUUUCUCCAAAAUCUCGCUCGUCUUGUGAGAUUUGGCGCGCCUGGGUGUUCUUUAUGCCGUUCUUGGCAUGUUUCUUGUGCCCAACUGGUGGGGAUUUAGAGUUCUUGGCUGUAGGAUCUCGGGCACCCCAUUUGUGCUUGAGCUGGAAAGAACUUUUUACAAGUAAUGCUCUGCCAUUUUGCAGGAUGAAGGACGGGACGAUGAGGAUUGGCAGGAGGUGGAAGAUGAUGAGGUGAAAUUUUUCAGGUGAGAGAGAUGGUGUCCGUUCUGGACCUUGAUGUUCUAUUUUACCCUUGUCCUUAGAAGGGGCCAACAUUUCGUCGAAAGGUUUUAGAGAUGGGAGGGAAGACACGGUUCCCUUACAUUCAGUCCUAACAGUAAUAUUUGGUAAUCUUUUCUCCAAUAGUAUUUCCCCACUCGGCAAAAUAAUAUUGAAUUUAUUUUUGUUGCCGCAUUGUAGCACUGGCAUAACAUCUAAAUUAUGUAAGUUAGAUAUUAGCCAAUGCAUGCGUCUGUGCUAAAUAUAAGACUUGGGAAUUCUGUGUUUAAUUGUAUUGUUGUUUAAAAUACACCGAGUCUUGACACAGAUCGUCAUCGUGCAAUUCAAUGCCAUAUAAUUCCAUAAUACUAUUCAUGUUUCUCCUUUUUACUACUCUUAAUCAGGGACUGUUUUCCCACGUCCAAAUAUGAACCUAUCUACCGUCCCAACAUUUAUAUAUCAUUUGAAUACAUAAACAAAUUGUAGUUGGAGAAAUCCAGUGGGAAUAUGUUUGGUAAGUUCAUUAUUGAUAUUAAAGUCACUCGCGUGUGGCAGAAAAUGAUUAAUAGCAAUAGCGGACGCAUUAUACCAAAGCCGCUAUAUACAAAUGCAACGCAAAAGACAUAGCGUUAGAGGUGCGCUAUCGCAAUAGUGGACGCAAUAGUGGGUGUAGCGAACGCUAUUUAAAACCUUGCCUCUAGACAUAUGGUUAUUGUGAGACUUAAAGACAUAAUAUUCUCAAGUUAGUAGGAUAGACAUAAUAUUCUCACUACGGCUAUCGUUGAUGCCUCCUGUUCAGAUACAAUUAAGUUUUCAUGUCUCUCACUUGAGCUGUGUGUGAUAUGGCCUUUGAGCAGUGCUGGUUUGGCAAGUCGACCAUAUUGGAUAACAUAUCGCUUCAUGGAUUGGUGCUUGUUCUGUUUGCUGACACUUGGAUGUUCAUAACUUGGUUUCUCGAGCUACGAAUUUAUCACUUCUAUCACAUUUCUAUCACAUAUUAAACUGAUGGUUUGCCUACAACCCUCCAUUCAAAUUAAUAAAACCGUUGGCAUUGCACCUUGCUUGUAGAGUAUAGAGUAGAUACCGAACGAUGCGCUUAGAAAGUAUGAUACAUAUCUUCUUUUAUUUAUUUCUCUCUCCUGAUUUUACCAUGUUCCAUACCAUUGGACCGCCUUUUCCAGUAUCUCUACAGCUAAUCAUUCCUGUAGUUUCAUUGUCUUGCAGUUUUAGUUUGUUUUCAUCUCUUUACUCAAUGCUGUUUCUUUUGGCGUAAUGCAGUGGGAUUGUUAACCCUUUCAUUUGCUUAGCUCCCGAGUAGAAUUUACAGGUUUGACUGAAUUGUCGACAGGAAUGGCGAUUCGUUGCUGGUGCAGAGUCAGGAGUGCUUGGAGAAGGUUGCCAAGACGGUCUCCUUCCUCGCGCAGCCUGAAGGCUCAUUCCUGCUGUUGCUCCCAGGUNNNNNNNNNUCCUGCUGUUUCUCACAGGUAAUUCAGUUCUGAUGCAUCUGUUCUAAUACUUUUAUGGAGUUAUAUAUAGGGGCUGCUGAUUGUGUGCGUUUACUAGUUAGAUUUUGUUUGCAAUCAAGGGUGAACACUAUGAUCGUAGUAUCAUCUCCAUGACUGGAAAGUUUGUGCCUAUACCAUUGCUUCUUUCCUUCAGGCUUAAACAUUUGGUAUCACAUCUCAUUAAUUAGAGCGAGCGUGUGACCUAUGUAGCUGGGAUUACUUUGGAUUCAGCGCAACAUCGGCAGCUUGUAUUUAUAAUUUGGAACCAAACAACAUGUGCUUAUUCUUGUAUGUGAAUGUUCUCUUGAAAAUCUUAGUUGUAUUCUUUGGAGCUUAUGUGUAUAUAUCUCUGUGUGUGUGCGUGUGUAGUCUUCACUAGUUGACAAUUUAAGUAUCUUGAUACCUCCUAAAUUUUGUAACAAACAUUGCUGGUGUUGUUAUGUUAGAAGUCAAUAUUUAUCAAAAUUUGUAAUUCUUAAUCAUCUGUUUUCUUUCUCUAACGCUUUUGAUUCAUGCUUCUUUUGCGAGGGGAAGUUCAAAAGGACCGCGCGCUGGAGCUCCUAAACGUGCGCCCCUUCUACUUCGUUUACUUAUGUGGCGUGAAGACAUAAAGAAAACCUUUGGAGCCAUAGUUGUCUUUUUUGUCAUCUAAAAUAAUAAUGGUAACAUAUUAAUGCAAACAAAAUAAUAUUGUAGGUCAAAAAAUUGUAUGUGAAUAAUGAAUGGAUGCCAUGGAACUAUAUUUGUUAUGGAGCUAUGUAUGUAUGGAUGUUAUGGAACUAUAUGUAUAUAUGGAUGCUAUGGAAUUUUGGAUGUAUGGAUGCUAUGGAGUUUUGAUAUAUGGAUCAUGAAAUUUGUUAUGCAACUUUGCAUAUAUGUUAUGUGUUGUGGAUCAGUAAAACUAUUGGGCACAUGUUAUGUAUUAUAUAUUUGAUAUAUAUGUUAUGUGUUGUUGAAUUUGUGGUUUUGAAAAAAAACAUAUAUAUGCUAGAAUACCAGAUACUAAUGGAGCACCAUGGGCUAUACUAAUGGCGCACCUGGGAGGCAUACUAAUGGCGCACCUCGGAGGCAUACUAAUGGGGCACUAGGGAGGCAUACUAAUGGCGCACCUGAGAGGAAUACUAAUGGCGCACCUGGGAGGCAUACUAAUGGCGCACCUGAUAGGAAUACUAAUGGCGCACCUGGGAGGCAUACUAAUGGCGCACCAUGAGCAAUACUAAUGGCGCACUACCUGGUGCGCCAUUAGUAUACCAGAUACUAAUGGCGCACUUGUGGUGCGCCAUUAGUAAAAAAAUCUAAUGGCAUGAUGCUAGUGGUGCACCUAUAGUGCGUCAUUAGUAGCAAAAAUAGGUGCGCCAUUAGCAAGCCUUUUCCUAGUAGUGUUGUAGGAAGCCAAGCCAGCUAAGAUGGAGGCUGAGGACUGGGAGGAGUUACAGUUGAGGACAACCGAAACUAUACGGUUGUGUUUGUCGGACCAGGUUAUUUAUCAUGUGAUGGAUGAGAAUUCGUCGAAGAAGAUCUGGGAGAAGCUGGAGAGUCAAUUUUUGUCCAAGACUACGACGACCAAGGUGUAUCUGAAGCAAAAGUUGUAUGGGAUGAAGAUGCAAGAGGGGUCGGAUCUUGUGGAGUAUAUGAACGCCUUUAAGCAAGUCGUGACGGAUCUAGCACGCUUGGGUGCGACGAUUGACGACGAGGAUAGGGAAAUUCUGCUUCUUUGUUCAUUGCCAUCAUCCUAUGACCACUUGAUUACUACUUUGACGCACGGCAAGGAGACCGUCAAGAAUGAGGAUAUUAUUGCGGCCUUGCUAUCUUAUCAUAUGAGAAAGAAGAAUGCGGUGGAAGUCUCUCAUUGUGAAGGUUUGCUAGUGAAGGGUGAAGAGUGGCGGAAGGGAUAUGAGGCAGGGAAGAUCAAGCAAAAGAAAAAGAAAAUACAGUGUCACAAGUGUAAGCAGAGGGGACAUAUUAAAAACGACUGUGCAAAGCUCAAUGGUGGGUCAAGUGCUAAUAUGGCAAUUCAUGGUGAUGACUCAGACAACAAUAGUGAUGCCCUUGUAGUAUCAGACAAGCGGUCAACCAAAAGUGAAGCGUGGAUGUUGGAUUCAGCUUGCUCUUUUCAUGUGACACCCAACAAGGAGUGGUUCUCUUCGUACAAGUCGGGUGGUUUUGGUUUAGCCUAUAUGGGCGAUGACAGUGGUUAUCGUGUUGCUGGAGUAGAUGACAUCAAAAUCAAGAUGUUUGACGGAGUUGAGAGGAUGCUUCGGGGAGUCAGGCAUGUUCCGGGACUAAGGAGAAAUCUAAUUUCGCUUGGAGUUCUUCAUGAUGGUGGUAUGGUAUCCAUUGUGAUCAGGAUAGGAAGACCAUGAAAAUCAUGGAAGAUGAGGUGACCGUGAUGAUUGGAGCGAGGAUGGCUUCGCUUCUUUACAAGUUGCAAGGAAGAACUAUUGCAGGUGGAGUCACGAAGACUGGAGUUGCAGGAGUAGCAGCAGGUUCCCACGGAGGCGGCGGGUCUGUGGCAGACUCGUCAGGUAGCUCUCGGUAAGCUACGAAGAAGCCAACACAAGUGUGGAGUACAUGGAAGUUUUACGCAUGGACAAAUUCAAAGGGGUGAAGAAUAUUUGCCAAGGUGGAGUUUGUUAGAGUUGUGUUGAAUAUUGUGUACGAGUCGGGUUACAUAUGGACUUGGUGUUGUAGUUUGGGUAGGAUCCAUGUAGUGACGUAGUCGGACACGUUGUACCCUGGACCUCUUAUAUAUGAGGAGGCACCCCACGUCGUAACCUAUGACGCCUAGAUAAUAUCCGACACGACUCUAACAAAUGGCCCACGAGGCCCGGCCGGUGCCCUGGUCUCACGAACCGGGACCUAUGCCCACAUGGGUCCCGGUUCGUGAGAAAACAGAAACUAAUGGAAUUUCAUCAUGUGGACCAAAGCCCUCUUUUCUACUAAUGGAAAUGCAUGCUAGAUACUUCUUUAAUGAGAUUUAAAAAAAUAGAAGACAAGGGGUAUAGUGGAGAUGAAUGGGAAGAUAGAAAAAGAAGAAUAAGAAGAGUUUAUUCAAACAAAUGUAGAAUCAAAAUGGAAGGUUUUGUUCUUAUUAGCAUUUCUUACUCCCGAAUUAACAUUGAUAUAAAGUAGUAACUUCAGAUAUUUAUGACUUACUCCCUCCAUCUCAGUUUAUAAGUCCGGCACGUGUAUCUAGGUCGUCAAUUUGAUCAACUUAAUGAUAAACAUAUAUUACAAAAAAUAUAUCAUUAAAAACUUUAGAUGUUCUAUUUUCUAAUGAUAUGAUUUUUAUUUUAAAUAAUAGAUUUUAUAUAAGUCAAAUUUACGACCUAGGUACACGCGCGUGUCUUAUAAACUGUGACGGAGGUAGUAACAUUCUUUCUGCAAAUAAAGUUUGGCACAUGCAUGAAGCUGGCUUAUUUAAUAUGGCAUCACAAAGAGAACUCAUAUCCACCAUUUCUUUCUCCUCCUUGUGAUUCAGAACUUAAAUUCUUCUUACCUAGUACUCCCCGAGUUGUAUAAAUUUAGACAUUUACUUUCGGAUGAAGAAAGUAAUUCAAUGAAUCAUCCAUUAGGACAAACUACCCAUCCACUGAUCUAUCUUCACUUACCGGCAUGGAUAAUCUGCCAGUGAUACUACUUACUACAACUAGUCGAAACCGUCAAGGGUGAAGUUCGACAUUGCGAAGAUUCUGUCAAAAAAUUUACUGCUGCCACUUUCUGCAAAGAAAGUUUGGCACAUGCAUGAAGCUGGCUUAUUUAAUAUGGCAUCACAAUGACAACUCAUAUCCACCAUUUCUUUCUCCUCUAUGUGAUUCAAAACUUAAAUUCUUCUUACCUAGUACUCCCCGGGUUGUAUAAAUUUAGACAUUUACUUUCGGAUGAAGAAAAUAAUUCAAUGAAUCAUCCAUUAGGACAAACUACCCAUGCACUGAUCUAUCAUUACUUACCGGCAUGGUAAUCUGCCAGUGAUACUACUUACUACAACUAGUCGAAACCGUCAAGGGUGAAGUUGGACAAUGCGAACAUUCUGUCAAAAACUUUACUGCUGCCGAGUCCAAUAUGCAGUUUUUCAACAAUGAAUUGUUCUUGUGAUCAUGUGUAAUCAAUUUGGACAUGUAGUUACAUAUUAGAAGCCUGUUAUUUCUGUUUUUAUGUUCGUUGAAAUCCAAUGAAUCAUUGGGAACCAGUUAUCAUACCCAGUGCAAACAACCAGUGAUGAGCCGAUGCCCAAUUUUUUUAUUACACAUUAAAAGAAGUAAAAUACAACAUGCAAAUCCAUUCAUCUCACAUCAUUAUUUGCUCUAUUCAAUUAUUUCUCUAUUAGGAGAAUGGUCUGAUACUGAAGGCCAAGGGACUUGCCGGGGGUGAAGGUGGUGCUAUUUCUGGGACACGGUAACCUGCAAAAUUGCAGUUUUGGGAUUAUAAUGAUGAACUAGUAGAGAAAUUAAAUAAAGUGUGUAUAUAUUUAUAUGAAAAUAUAACAACCUACACAGUUGCUGUGUGUGUGCAAACUAUUGCCGCAUGCACGUGUAACCGUGGCAAACUUGGAGAGACUGAUCAAAGUCAGUUCAUGAGCCAUGAAGCGAUCACAGACGCAGUGGAUGUCUUUGGCAUCUUUUAUUGUAUGACAACACGGGCUCUCUAGUGGCGGGUACCGGUCACCAAGGCUCUUUUCGAUGUUAUGCCAACAGUCUCGCAUCACCAUUUUUUGUCAAGGAGGCAAUGGUCUACCUGGUUGACUUCUCGUGCAUAGCACGAACAAGAAGAGAGACCGACAAGGACUAGGAAGCAUACUCCGACUAAUUUUGCGUUGUUCAUGUUCUAUGUUGUGUAGUAC